This 462-nucleotide ribosomal RNA is filed under the name uncultured bacterium. RNAcentral describes it as "partial 16S ribosomal RNA". It matches the Rfam family "Bacterial small subunit ribosomal RNA", at positions 28 to 507 of the family's 1533-position model. The record is from RNAcentral.
GACGAACGCUGGCGGCGUGCUUAACACAUGCAAGUCGAACGGAAAGGCCCUACGGGGUACUCGAGUGGCGAACGGGUGAGUAACACGGGGGUGAUCUGCCCUGCACUUUGGGAUAAGCCUGGGAAACUGGGGCUAAUACCGAAUAGGACCACGAGAUUCAUGGCGUGUGGAGGAAAGCGUUUGCGGUGUGGGAUGGGCCCGCGGCCGAUCAGCUCGUUGGUGGAGGAAUGGCCUACCAAGGCGACGACGGGUAGCCGACCGGAGAGGGUGACCGGCCACCCUGGGCCUGCGGUACGGCCCAGACUCCUACGGUGGGCAGCGGUGGGGAAUAUUGCACAAUGGGCGCAAGCCUGAUGCGGCGACGCCGCGUGAGGGAAGACGUCCUUCGGGUUGUAAACCUCUUUCGCCUGGGACGAAGCGUAAGUGACGGUACCUAGAGAAGAAGCACCGGCCAACUACGUG